GGCAACUGGUCACCUUUUCCUCUCCACAGGUUUUGAUCCCUGAUUGUCUUCAUAUCUAGGAUGAGAAUCUUCUGACACACCCGUUGUCAUCGUGAUCCCCCACCACCGAGGGCCAUCCCCCAACCAGCGAACACACCGCACUCAUGUCCACCACAUCCUGUUCCAGUAACCAUGUGGCUUCUUACCAAUUGCUCCCUAAUGUUGCGUCCCCGACGAUAGGUGACACUGGGAUACGGGACAAGAGUCUGUAUGUGGAGAAAACUAUGACCUAUGGAGUAGAACAUGUACGGGCCUUCCACAGGAUCUCCGCAGAAGCGAAAACCAUAGUUGAGAAGUAAGGUCCAGGACUAUCUUCAAUAAAUCUAAUUUCUUUAUUGAAAAUUAAAAAAUGUAAAAUCACAAUGAUGUGUACUGUGUAAAUAAAAAGUGAUCAUCCCUCCCUGCUUCCAGCUUGUGGUCCAAAAAAGGCGAA
Long non-coding RNA from Hyla sarda, 472 nucleotides. RefSeq lists it as uncharacterized. The record is from RefSeq and is a predicted model, not a curated record. Lineage: Eukaryota; Metazoa; Chordata; Amphibia; Anura; Hylidae. The transcript is spliced from 4 exons.